AGGCUGUUAGGAAGGCAGUUAGGCUGCAGUGAAUUCUACAAAGAGGCUAUGGGAAAGAAACCUGGAAAGUACCCUUGGCUGUGUACAUUUGAGUAAAGAGAGCACUAUAAAAUCAAAAACCAAUGAAAUGGUUUCCAGAACACAGAACUAUUAAGCUUAAGAAAAGGACAGAAGGAACUGAAGAGAGAGGAACUGUUUUGGAGCAUCACACUUCCACCUCAGAAGAAAUAAGGAAGGAAGGAGGAGGGUGUUCCCACGGCUCUUCAACCAGGCCGGCUCUUCAGCCUACAUCCCCAUCUCAUCAAGUAAAAGGGAUUUUUCAACUGGACCAACCAGAUGGUUUAACAGUGCACUCCCACACCAUUCAACUACGCAAGGGAGAUACACUUAACAUAUGCAGUCGUAUAACACCUACUAACAUUUUCAAACAUUAAACCUUUAAAAAAGAGUUCUAAAGAAAUAGAAGCUUGAAGUAUCAUCUCUCAAGUAUAUAGACACUACUUCAUGGUGUGGUAAUAUAUGCAUAUAGAAGCUAGUAAACACCUCCAGGAGAUGCAAAAGGAAUUAGAACUGCCACAAGGUGCAAGCAAAACCUUGAGUCUCCAUUGAUGGUGAAGUAUUUUCACUAUUUGGCAUGUCUUCUCUAGUACCUAGAGCAGUGCGUUGCAUGCAGUAGCAGGUUUAUAAACAUUUGCGAGUAAAACAUCCAACCUGAUACUCAAGCUUCUUUAAAAUAUGAAGACUUCGAAGUUAUUUAUCCAAACCAACCUGAUCAUUUCUUAAGAGUGAAUAUACCUUGGAAGACGUGUCCUGCCUUUAGUAGCGUCACAAUGGAUUACAUCCUCUAUAAAGCAGUCUGGGAGGCUAACAUCUGCCACAAGACAAAUAUGGUGCCUGCCCCCAUGGAGCUCAUAUUCGAAUGGAGAAAAUGUCAACAAGUAUCCCACGGAGUGAACACUUCAAAAGGAGAAGCACAGGUGAGAAAAUCGAAUUUGGACACCGUUGAGGAGACUAUUGCAGUCAUCCAAGCUCAAGAUGGUGGAGCUUCAUCCUUGAGAAUAACCAAUGGGGAUAGAUUUAAGAGACACUUAGAGUCUGCAGCCAACAGGGCUGAAUGAGCAGAGAGUUAUGAUUCAGAAGAUCAUCUAAAAUUGAACAGCUGCCACUACUGGCAAUAAGUCUACUGCCAUUUGGUAGAUAACCUUCUUAUCACACAGAAAAAUAUCAGUACAGACAAAUAGACCGCAAAGAAAAUGAGACCAUCAGCAAAGAAGAUAAAGAAGUUUGUACAAAGCAACUUUUUAUAAAUGGAUGGCUGUCAGGCAAAAAUAAAUUUCCUGUGGACAAGACCAAGAGCAAGGCAAGAGGAAAAUAAACAUGUUUAAACUA
Molecule: long non-coding RNA, 1389 nt
Organism: Homo sapiens (human)
Lineage: Eukaryota; Metazoa; Chordata; Mammalia; Primates; Hominidae
Product: long intergenic non-protein coding RNA 343
Source: Ensembl